This 497-nucleotide ribosomal RNA is filed under the name uncultured bacterium. Its description in RNAcentral is "partial 16S ribosomal RNA". It matches the Rfam family "Bacterial small subunit ribosomal RNA", at positions 28 to 507 of the family's 1533-position model. The record is from RNAcentral.
GAUGAACGCUGGCGGCGUGCCUAAUACAUGCAAGUCGAGCGAACAGACGAGGAGCUUGCUCCUCUGACGUUAGCGGCGGACGGGUGAGUAACACGUGGAUAACCUACCUAUAAGACUGGGAUAACUUCGGGAAACCGGAGCUAAUACCGGAUAAUAUAUUGAACCGCAUGGUUCAAUAGUGAAAGACGGUUUUGCUGUCACUUAUAGAUGGAUCCGCGCCGCAUUAGCUAGUUGGUAAGGUAACGGCUUACCAAGGCAACGAUGCGUAGCCGACCUGAGAGGGUGAUCGGCCACACUGGAACUGAGACACGGUCCAGACUCCUACGGGAGGCGGCAGUAGGGAAUCUUCCGCAAUGGGCGAAAGCCUGACGGAGCAACGCCGCGUGAGGGAUGAAGGUCUUCGGAUCGUAAAACUCUGUUAUUAGUGAAGAACAAAUGUGUAAGUAACUAUGCACGUCUUGACGGUACCUAAUCAGAAAGCCACGGCUAACUACGUG